CACGAGUUAUGGCUGAGAUUUGGAAAUCUAGAGGAAAUUUGGUAUCAUAUAUGCAGAGAUAACUAUUUAAAGAGAGGCUGCAGCUACGGCUAGCAUUCAUACCAUGUGGAAACAGACUGACUUCUUGGUGCCGCUUACAAACUCUUCUCUCCUGCAACCUGUGCUCCUCCUUCCCAGUUCUAUACAGAUGUGGCCUUCAGGAACACCCCACAAAUCCUGGCAGAGCAUCCCUGCCAGAUAAGAAAGCGCCCGAAAUGCAGCAAGGAAGGCAUGUUUGGGAGGUACUGCAGUCCCCAGUGCAGAAAAAAAAAGGAAUGUAAUGAGUGCUCAGAAGCCAAACGGCAGGACAUAAAAGAGAAUUAAGCAUUUGUUAAGAAGGCAACUGAGAGGAUGAUUAAAAUAAUGGAGGAGCAAAUGCAGAUGCUGAAGUCCUUAAUAGUGCCACAGACGGAGCGGAUCCAAUGCCGACCUCCCCUGCAGCACAUUCAGAACUCUUUUACAUGCACCCCCCUAAACUCCGCCCACACAUUCCUUUCCACUUUCCGGGAGUUCUUGGUUUCCCCUUCACUUCAUCCCCUUGGACAACUUUCACCAUAGCUGGACCU
Long non-coding RNA from Mauremys reevesii (Reeves's turtle), 605 nucleotides. RefSeq lists it as uncharacterized. Lineage: Eukaryota; Metazoa; Chordata; Testudines; Geoemydidae. The transcript is spliced from 3 exons. The record is from RefSeq and is a predicted model, not a curated record.